This 447-nucleotide ribosomal RNA is filed under the name uncultured bacterium. Its description in RNAcentral is "SSU rRNA". It matches the Rfam family "Bacterial small subunit ribosomal RNA", at positions 26 to 518 of the family's 1533-position model. The record is from RNAcentral.
AGAGCGAACGCUGGCGGCAGGCUUAACACAUGCAAGUCGAGCGGGCGUAGCAAUACGUCAGCGGCAGACGGGUGAGUAACGCGUGGGAACAUACCUUUUGGUUCGGAACAACACAGGGAAACUUGUGCUAAUACCGGAUAAGCCCUUACGGGGAAAGAUUUAUCGCCGAAAGAUUGGCCCGCGUCUGAUUAGCUAGUUGGUGAGGUAACGGCUCACCAAGGCGACGAUCAGUAGCUGGUCUGAGAGGAUGAUCAGCCACAUUGGGACUGAGACACGGCCCAAACUCCUACGGGAGGCAGCAGUGGGGAAUAUUGGACAAUGGGCGCAAGCCUGAUCCAGCCAUGCCGCGUGAGUGAUGAAGGCCCUAGGGUUGUAAAGCUCUUUUGUGCGGGAAGAUAAUGACGGUACCGCAAGAAUAAGCCCCGGCUAACUCGUGCCAGCAGCCGC